This 42-nucleotide ribosomal RNA is filed under the name Tilletia controversa (dwarf bunt fungus). Its description in RNAcentral is "partial 18S ribosomal RNA". Lineage: Eukaryota; Fungi; Basidiomycota; Exobasidiomycetes; Tilletiales; Tilletiaceae. The record is from RNAcentral.
CAGAAGGAUCAUUAGUGAAUCUUUAUUGCCGUACUUCUCUUC